RNAcentral lists this ribosomal RNA (789 nucleotides) under uncultured bacterium. RNAcentral describes it as "bacterial SSU rRNA". It matches the Rfam family "Bacterial small subunit ribosomal RNA", at positions 8 to 796 of the family's 1533-position model. The record is from RNAcentral.
AGAGUUUGAUCCUGGCUCAGGAUGAACGCUAGCGGCAGGCUUAACACAUGCAAGUCGAGGGGUAGAGCUAGCUUGCUAGCUUGAGACCGGCGCACGGGUGCGUAACGCGUAUGCAACCUACCUUGAACAGGGGGAUAGCCCAGAGAAAUUUGGAUUAAUACCCCAUGGUAUAUUUGAGUGGCAUCACUCGACUAUUAAAGUUCCAACGGUUCAAGAUGGGCAUGCGUCCCAUUAGCUAGAUGGUAAGGUAACGGCUUACCAUGGCAACGAUGGGUAGGGGUCCUGAGAGGGAGAUCCCCCACACUGGUACUGAGACACGGACCAGACUCCUACGGGAGGCAGCAGUGAGGAAUAUUGGUCAAUGGGCGCAAGCCUGAACCAGCCAUGCCGCGUGCAGGAUGGCGGUCCUAUGGAUUGUAAACUGCUUUUGUACGGGAAGAAACACUCCCUCGUGAGGGAGCUUGACGGUACCGUAAGAAUAAGGACCGGCUAACUCCGUGCCAGCAGCCGCGGUAAUACGGAGGGUCCAAGCGUUAUCCGGAAUCAUUGGGUUUAAAGGGUCCGUAGGCGGUCUUAUAAGUCAGUGGUGAAAUCCGGCAGCUCAACUGUCGAACUGCCAUUGAUACUGUAAGACUUGAAUUAUUAGGAAGUAACUAGAAUAUGUAGUGUAGCGGUGAAAUGCUUAGAUAUUACAUGGAAUACCAAUUGCGAAGGCAGGUUACUACUAAUGGAUUGACGCUGAUGGACGAAAGCGUGGGUAGCGAACAGGAUUAGAUACCCUGGUAGUCC